UUUAUCUUCUUUUUCGCCGAA
RNAcentral lists this non-coding RNA (21 nucleotides) under Caenorhabditis elegans. Lineage: Eukaryota; Metazoa; Nematoda; Chromadorea; Rhabditida; Rhabditidae. The record is from RNAcentral.